Molecule: non-coding RNA, 348 nt
Organism: Cyprinodon variegatus (sheepshead minnow)
Lineage: Eukaryota; Metazoa; Chordata; Actinopteri; Cyprinodontiformes; Cyprinodontidae
Source: the annotation of a RefSeq genome assembly
AUGUUCUGUUCUUCCUCAGAGUGUAAAGGAGACUCAGUGACGCAGACAGAAGGACAUGUUGUUGCUGCUGAAGGAGAAUCUGUGACUCUGGGAUGUUCUUAUAAAAGCAGUGUAACACCAACAUUGUUCUGGUAUAAACAAGAAGAAAACAGCUUUCCACAGUAUAUGCUGAAACGAGUUUCAUCAGAGGGAGAUAACGCUCCUGAAUUCAGCAAAAACAAAUUUCAGGCAGAGGUCAAGAACUCAGCUUUUAAUCUGACGAUCCAGGAUCUCCGUCUGUCAGACUCUGCUGUGUACUACUGUGCUCUGAAGCCCACAGUGACAGGAAACACCAGAACUCUACUGUAA